Cuculus canorus (common cuckoo) is the source of this 1851-nucleotide RNA transcript. It is a transcript of the gene named lysosomal membrane ascorbate-dependent ferrireductase CYB561A3, with no coding region annotated. The transcript is spliced from 6 exons. Lineage: Eukaryota; Metazoa; Chordata; Aves; Cuculiformes; Cuculidae. The record is from RefSeq and is a predicted model, not a curated record.
GCCGCCACUCUCGUUGGUCACUGGGGCCCCUUCAGGCGUUGAGCGGGAGACACCAUUGAGACGAGCGGGCAGAGCGGCACCGGCCAAUAUGGAGGCGCCCGGCGGUGCCGAGGCGGGGGAGGCGGAGGAGUCCGACGGGCGGGGGCACCGCCAUCCCAUUGCGGAGAUGUUGGAUCUGCCUUUCCUACCCUUUUGUGCCUUCCUGGGUGGCUUGGGCUUCAUCUGCGUGGCCUUCGUGAGUGCUUGGUGCCAGCAUUGGCGCGGCGGCUUCUCCUUGGAUGGCAGCAUCCAGACAUUCAACUGGCACCCGGUGCUGAUGGUGACGGGCAUGGUGGUGCUGUACGGCGCAGCGGCUCUGGUUUACCGCUUGCCACCGGCAUGGAGUGGCCCCAAGCUUCCCUGGAAGGUUCUGCAUGGUGCCCUGGCGUUGGCAGCUUUCAUCCUGGCUGUUUUGGGGCUGGCGGCUGUCUUUCGCUUCCACAAUGAGCAAGGGACGCCCAAUAUGUACUCGCUGCACAGCUGGCUGGGACUGGCCACCGUCCUGCUCUACUCCUGCCAGUGGCUGGCUGGUUUCAGCGCGUUCCUGCUUCCCUGGGCUCCUGCCUGGCUCCGUGCCCUCUACAAACCCGUCCACGUCUUCUUUGGCUCCAUCAUCCUUCUGCUUUCUGUGGCUUCGUGCGUGUCGGGCAUCAACGAGAAGCUCUUCUUCAGCCUAAUGGGACGAUGGACUACAAGCACUUGCCUGCCGAGGCUGUAUUUGCCAACACGCUGGGGCUCCUGAUCAUCCUUUUUGGGGUGCUGGUGGUGGGUGCCCUCGCCAAGCCAAGCUGGAAGCGCCCCGAUGCCGAUUCCCCCGACUCUUGCCAGCCCCUGCUCACCGCUGAGCGCUGAUUCCUGCCGAGGUCUCUCCCUGCCUUCCUGAGGUACCAGCCCUGAGCUCUCCAAUGCCAUCACUGCUCUGCCGGUCCUGCUCUCUGCGCAUUGCUUGCCCUCACCAGAUCUCCUGGUCUGCCAGGAACGGGCUCAGUUCCCGUACAGCUGCGGUGAGGACAUCUCUCCACCUCUUCUGUGGCCUGGCAUUGGCCUCCUGCCUGCUGUGGGAUGACGGCAGCUGCAGCGGGAUGCUCCUGCCUGCAUCCUUGGGCUUCUGCUUGCCAGUUCCUGCUGGGUCAAGCUGGCCUCUCAUGCCUGGACCUUGAUUUAUGACCACGUGGCUGCUCUCCAGCCCUCUCUGACCCCACAGUGCCAUCAUACACCUCGAUGCACGCCGAACUGGCUGCUCUCCAGCCCUCUGACCCCACAGUGCCAUCCUAGACCUUGGUCCGUGCCGAACUAGCUGCUCUCUGACCAUUCCUCAGUGGAGCAUUCAGAGCCUCAUCAAGUCAGAAGCCACUGGAGCAGCAUCCAUGUGCCUGUCAGCACUGCCAAUCCUGGGACCAUCUCCUGUGCCAGAUAUUCCAGGAUGGAAGAGACCCUCAGGCCAUGCCUUUCCCUCAGGACCAACUGAGCAGCCUUCAUGGACAUGUAAUAAACUGCUGGCUCCUGCAGCGUUCCCACACUUGCAUCCCUGGGGACAAGGGAAACCUGAGAAGCUGGGAUAGAACAGGUGGGUGCCCAGGGAGUGAAUCCCGGUGCCCUGCUUGUCCUCGCUGCCUCCUACUUUCCCUUCUGCUGCUGGUAGGCAGGGCUUCCCUGGCACCUGGGCUCAUUCUGGUUGUUUCCCCUGCUCAUUCCAGGUCCUUUCCCAUUUUUGGAGCCACUCCAUGUGACCAGGUGGGCUCUGCCAACAGUUCUUCCUUGUCCUUUGCCCACAGCCUCCUCCAGGCCAUGUGCCUAGGGCCAUGUGAGCCC